RNAcentral lists this ribosomal RNA (757 nucleotides) under uncultured bacterium. RNAcentral's name for it is "bacterial SSU rRNA". It matches the Rfam family "Bacterial small subunit ribosomal RNA", at positions 61 to 796 of the family's 1533-position model. The record is from RNAcentral.
GUCGAGCGAGAAAGGGGAGCAAUCCCCCGGUAAAGCGGCAGACGGGUGAGUAACACGUGGGUAAUCUGCCCUCGAGUGUGGAAUAACAUCUCGAAAGAGGUGCUAAUACCGCAUAACAUCCAGGAGCCCGAGGGUUUCUGGAUCAAAGGUGGGGAUCUUUGGACCUGCCACUUGAGGAGGAGCCCGCGCCUGAUUAGCUAGUUGGUGGGGUAAUGGCCUACCAAGGCGACGAUCAGUAGCCGGCCUGAGAGGGUGAACGGCCACACUGGAACUGAGACACGGUCCAGACUCCUACGGGAGGCAGCAGUGAGGAAUUUUGCGCAAUGGGCGAAAGCCUGACGCAGCAACGCCGCGUGGACGAUGAAGGUCUUCGGAUCGUAAAGUCCUGUCGAGUGGGAAGAAGAAUGCGGGGGUUAAUACCUCCCGUAUUAGACUGUACCACCAAAGGAAGCCCCGGCUAACUCCGUGCCAGCAGCCGCGGUAAUACGGAGGGGGCCAGCGUUGUUCGGAAUUAUUGGGCGUAAAGGGCGCGUAGGCGGCCAAACAAGUCUGACGUGAAAUCCCCCGGCCCAACCGGGGAACUGCGUUUGAAACUGUUUGGCUCGAGUCCGGGAGAGGGUAGCGGAAUUCCCAGUGUAGCGGUGAAAUGCGUAGAUAUUGGGAGGAACACCGGUGGCGAAGGCGGCUACCUGGACCGGUACUGACGCUGAGGCGCGAAAGCUAGGGUAGCAAACAGGAUUAGAUACCCUGGUAGUCC